Paramuricea clavata is the source of this 729-nucleotide non-coding RNA. Lineage: Eukaryota; Metazoa; Cnidaria; Anthozoa; Malacalcyonacea; Plexauridae. The record is from the annotation of a GenBank genome assembly.
GGCUUAUUAAUCUAUCUUUUAUUCAAUUUAAGAAAGGAAUAUUAGCAUACUACUUGACUGCAUUACGAUCCUGCUACAACGUUGACGAUCCACGAACUUGGAAGACUGUCUGUGUCAAAUGUAACAAAAGCAGAAGUCUCAUCCGACCAUUAACUUGCUGUUACUAGAGGGGCGUUUGCACAUUGCGAUUUGUCCUGUGCGAUUCGGAUUUUGGUGUAUAAUUCAUUUGAUGCCUCAAUUCCAAAAAUCUGAAUUGAAGCGAAACUUUAAUUGCACAAUUGACGCGUGCCUACUCGAUUGGAUUCGCCAAAAUACGAGUCGUACACGGCGGAUCGCGGUGUGUAAACGUACCUUAAGUAAACUAAGUAUAAUUACUUAGGUGAUUAUUGAAAAUUUUCCAAGCUGAUUCGUUGCCGUUGAGGUGAUUAUAACGUGAUAAUCACCUAAGUUUUGACUAUUAAAUGACGAAGAAAUGUGUAUUUUUAUUUUUUUCCCAAAUAAUCACCUAUGAAAUUAUACUAAAACAAUUAUUCGCCUUAGGCUCGGUGGUUAUUGUUAAAUGAAAACUUCGACUUUGUCUCUGUCCCUACUUACCGAUAAUCACCUAGCCUUCAGCAAUAAAUUGUUAAUUAUUUCUGUUUUCUAUAUUUAUAUUGAUAUUUUGUAAAGGGCCCACUGUAAUUGGUGUUAAGCUGUUGUGGUGUCCCAGCUUCUUUAAUGCAUUCAUUG